RNAcentral lists this ribosomal RNA (93 nucleotides) under Nephila pilipes (giant wood spider). RNAcentral describes it as "partial 5.8S ribosomal RNA". It matches the Rfam family "5.8S ribosomal RNA", at positions 2 to 104 of the family's 154-position model. Rfam says of the family: 5.8S ribosomal RNA (5.8S rRNA) is a component of the large subunit of the eukaryotic ribosome. It is transcribed by RNA polymerase I as part of the 45S precursor that also contains 18S and 28S rRNA. The record is from RNAcentral. Lineage: Eukaryota; Metazoa; Arthropoda; Arachnida; Araneae; Nephilidae.
ACUCUGAGCAGUGAAUCACUCGGCUCACGGGUCGAUGAAGAACGCCGCUUGCUGCGAUAAUUGGUGUGAAUUACAUAUUGCUAAACUUUUGAA